RNAcentral lists this ribosomal RNA (497 nucleotides) under uncultured bacterium. RNAcentral describes it as "partial 16S ribosomal RNA". It matches the Rfam family "Bacterial small subunit ribosomal RNA", at positions 28 to 507 of the family's 1533-position model. The record is from RNAcentral.
GACGAACGCUGGCGGCGUGCCUAAUACAUGCAAGUCGAACGCUGAAGAGAGGAGCUUGCUCUUCUUGGAUGAGUUGCGAACGGGUGAGUAACGCGUAGGUAACCUGCCUUGUAGCGGGAGAUAACUAUUGGAAACGAUAGCUAAUACCGCAUAACAAUGGAUGACACAUGCCAUUUAUUUGAAAGGGGCAAUUGCUCCACUACAAGAUGGACCUGCGUUGUAUUAGCUAGUAGGUGAGGUAAUGGCUCACCUAGGCGACGAUACAUAGCCGACCUGAGAGGGUGAUCGGCCACACUGGGACUGAGACACGGCCCAGACUCCUACGGGAGGCAGCAGUAGGGAAUCUUCGGCAAUGGGGGCAACCCUGACCGAGCAACGCCGCGUGAGUGAAGAAGGUUUUCGGAUCGUAAAGCUCUGUUGUAAGUCAAGAACGGGUGUGAGAGUGGAAAGUUCACACUGUGACGGUAGCUUACCAGAAAGGGACGGCUAACUACGUG